This 454-nucleotide ribosomal RNA is filed under the name uncultured Paraprevotella sp. RNAcentral's name for it is "bacterial SSU rRNA". It matches the Rfam family "Bacterial small subunit ribosomal RNA", at positions 341 to 792 of the family's 1533-position model. Lineage: Bacteria; Pseudomonadati; Bacteroidota; Bacteroidia; Bacteroidales; Prevotellaceae. The record is from RNAcentral.
ACGGGAGGCAGCAGUGAGGAAUAUUGGUCAAUGGGCGAGAGCCUGAACCAGCCAAGUAGCGUGAAGGAUGACGGCCCUACGGGUUGUAAACUUCUUUUGCCGGGGGAUAAAAAACGGGACGUGUCCCGUCUUGCAGGUACCCGUGCGAAUAAGGACCGGCUAAUUCCGUGCCAGCAGCCGCGGUAAUACGGAAGGUCCGAGCGUUAUCCGGAUUUAUUGGGUUUAAAGGGAGCGCAGGCGGAGAUGUAAGCCAGCCGUAAAAUCGUGGGGCUCAACCCCAUCCCGCGGUUGGAACUGCAUCCCUUGAGUGCACGAGAGGAUGGUGGAAUUCGUGGUGUAGCGGUGAAAUGCAUAGAUAUGACGAAGAACUCCGAUUGCGAAGGCAGCCUUCUGGGGUGUUACUGACGCUGAGGCUCGAAAGCGCGGGUAUCAAACAGGAUUAGAUACCCUGGUA